Molecule: ribosomal RNA, 467 nt
Filed under: uncultured bacterium
Lineage: Bacteria
Description: partial 16S ribosomal RNA
Rfam family: Bacterial small subunit ribosomal RNA
Source: RNAcentral
GACGAACGCUGGCGGCGUGCUUAACACAUGCAAGUCGAACGGAAAGGCUCCAGCUUGCUGGAGUACUCGAGUGGCGAACGGGUGAGUAACACGUGGGUAAUCUGCCCUGCACUCUGGGAUAAGCCUGGGAAACUGGGUCUAAUACUGGAUAUGACCUUUCUCCUUAUGGGGUUUGGUGGAAAGUUUUUCGGUGUAGGAUGAGCCCGCGGCCUAUCAGCUUGUUGGUGGGGUGAUGGCCUACCAAGGCGACGACGGGUAGCCGGCCUGAGAGGGUGAUCGGCCACAUUGGGACUGAGAUACGGCCCAGACUCCUACGAGAGGCAGCAGUGGGGAAUAUUGCACAAUGGGCGGAAGCCUGAUGCAGCGACGCCGCGUGAGGGAUGACGGCCUUCGGGUUGUAAACCUCUUUCAGCAGGGACGAAGCGUAAGUGACGGUACCUGCAGAAGAAGCACCGGCUAACUAUGUG